RNAcentral lists this long non-coding RNA (311 nucleotides) under Brachypodium distachyon (stiff brome). Its description in RNAcentral is "long non-coding RNA (BDIS_LNC005537)". Lineage: Eukaryota; Viridiplantae; Streptophyta; Magnoliopsida; Poales; Poaceae. The record is from RNAcentral.
UUGGCAUCAACUAUAUAGUUUUCAAACCAUGGUCUAACCAAAAGGGGUUACAAAAAUUUCCUUAAAUCACUCUCAUCCAAAAAAAAAAUACAGAUACAUUUCCUCCAACUUCUAAAAAUGGCAUCCCAAUACACGUCAUAUUAGUAUUAACAUGCUCGAACAGAGUUUUUGAAAUUUUCCAUUAGAUGACAAAAGUGAACUCAAAUUUCUGUCAGUGUGUCUAGACUCUAGAAGACAUAGGUACUAAGCAUUUUUAUUAGCAAGAAAAGAAAAGAAAUAUACACGAUCUAUUGGAGUACUUGUAUUAGUCC